Long non-coding RNA from Oncorhynchus keta (chum salmon), 740 nucleotides. RefSeq lists it as uncharacterized. Lineage: Eukaryota; Metazoa; Chordata; Actinopteri; Salmoniformes; Salmonidae. The record is from RefSeq and is a predicted model, not a curated record. The transcript is spliced from 4 exons.
CAGGUCCAGCAGUGUCCAUCUGCAGGAAGUGUGUAAGAUAAACAGGCGUCAUGGCGGAUGGAAGCAGGGCCAGGACAGACAGGACAGACCCCUUUCCCAGUUGUCUUGAAAAUACCAUAAAUCCAGAGGAUGCCAGACUUUGAUGACAAAUUUUGAUAAGAAAAUGUUCCCACAAAGCACUGCCGCACCACCUUCCUGUUCAAGUGAGCACAGCACAACAAGACAGGUGUGCUGGAGGCAGAGCAGAUCUCCACCAGCUGCAACAUGUUCCAUAAUCAAGACCACUACAAAUACUCAGGCCUGCCACUUCCACGCUGCCAGAUCGUAACCUCUGCUCAUUUUGUCUGCUCUGACUCUGGUCCCUGUCUCCAGUUCCACAUCUCGUCAGUCCUGCUACUCUGUCCUGGAUCCCCCACUCUACCGCUUACUUGGAUUUCUCUCCGGACCUGCUUACCCAGCCCCAACUCCCCUAGCUCCAGGCUCAGCCUCAGAACCUGCCUCCCUGCAACCCGCCCAAGCUUUCCCUGGCCUGCACCCCAUAUUUGUCAGUAAAUAACUUGGUUACCUUAUCCCAGUCUCCUCCUCUAAGUCUUAUAGUGAAAUUCAUGUAUUGUUUAGUGUUGUGCUGUGUUGUCUAGUGGCUUUACUGGCAUGCCCCACCAAUAUUUACAUUCUAAAAUCACCACUGUAUAGCCCUAUAGGAUAUAGCCUAGCUUUUAGGAGGACGAUUUGCAGGCAGA